This 73-nucleotide transfer RNA is filed under the name Penaeus vannamei (Pacific white shrimp). RNAcentral describes it as "transfer RNA glutamine (anticodon CUG)". It matches the Rfam family "tRNA". From Rfam's summary of the family: Transfer RNA (tRNA) molecules are approximately 80 nucleotides in length. Their secondary structure includes four short double-helical elements and three loops (D, anti-codon, and T loops). Further hydrogen bonds mediate the characteristic L-shaped molecular structure. tRNAs have two regions of fundamental functional importance: the anti-codon, which is responsible for specific mRNA codon recognition, and the 3' end, to which the tRNAs corresponding amino acid is attached (by aminoacyl-tRNA synthetases). tRNAs cope with the degeneracy of the genetic code in two manners: having more than one tRNA (with a specific anti-codon) for a particular amino acid; and 'wobble' base-pairing, i.e. permitting non-standard base-pairing at the 3rd anti-codon position. Lineage: Eukaryota; Metazoa; Arthropoda; Malacostraca; Decapoda; Penaeidae. The record is from Rfam by way of RNAcentral.
GUCCUCGUGGUGUAGUGGUUAGCGCGACUGACUCUGAAUCAGGAGAGCUCGGGUUCGAUCCCCGACGAGGACA